Long non-coding RNA from Rosa chinensis, 2755 nucleotides. RefSeq lists it as uncharacterized. The record is from RefSeq and is a predicted model, not a curated record. The transcript has 3 exons. NCBI's taxonomy places the organism in Eukaryota, Viridiplantae, Streptophyta, Magnoliopsida, Rosales, Rosaceae.
CAAAAAAUGAUUCAUCUAGCAUUACUCCAACUAGAAACACUAGUGAAUCAAAUUCUCUCCACCGUUGAAGACACCCCAACACUGCUUCAAUCCCUACACAACAAGCGCGUCUUCCCAACCCCGAAAUCUUUUAACCGCGUUUUGAUCUCAGCCGCUCAAAGAAACCAUGUUUACCUCGUAACCGAAAUCUUCAAACUCGCCAUUGCUUCCAAAAUUCAACCCUUAAACUCAAAUUGCUAUCUCACUGUUGCCAAAGCCUUUGCAAAAGCAGAUGAUUGUUUUGUGGAGCUGCUCAAUUUCACCAAGCAAGUACUGGAACCAACCGAGCAUGACAGUAAUAAACAGACUUCUCUUUGCAUUUGGUCAAUGCAAAGAGACCGAUAAUGCAAUUUGGAUCUUUGCCCAGGUGAAAGAUCGAAACUUUGCACUGGAUUUGUACACAUACAACACUGUUUUUGAGAUAUUGGGCCGGGCGGGUCGUACCGGUGAAAUGCUGGGGCUGUUUGGGGAAAUGAAGGAAGCUGGGAUUGACCCGGAUUUGGUUUCAUACAAUACAGUGAUAAACCAUGUGAGGAAGUUUGGGGAAGUUGAUAUGUGCUUGUUCUAUUUCAAGGAAAUGUGUGAAAAGGGUGUUCAGCGUGAUUUGCUUACUUACACUGCAGUCAUUGAUGGGUUGGGGAGGUCAGGAAAUAUUGAGGAGUCAUUGAGGUUCUUCGAUUAGAUGAUGGAGAGGUGGAUUCAGCCUUCGUUGUAUCUUUAUAGAGCAGUGAUCAGUAAUGUGAAGAAGAUUGGGAAGGUGGAGAUGGCAGUGACUUUCAUGGAGGAGAUGAAUUCAUGUGCUUCAAGUCUUGCUUGUCCGAAAUGGAAUAAACGCGAGUAGAAUUGAAUGAAAGCUACGUAUGUAUGUAAUCAAUGGAGAACUAUCGUGAGGGGAGUGAUGAAGAAAACGAUCUGGGUUCAAUAGAUUUUGAUAUGCUGGUCCGAAAUCUUGAGAAAUUCUCUCCAGGUUCCAAUGGACGAAUGACCACUUUGGGUGUGUAUGUGCGUGACUUGCUACUUGGGCAGGUUAGUUUCCUUCCAGCAUGCUUCUCAUUUCACAUGUUAUGAUGUCUAAAUAAUUAUACUGCGUAUCUCUCCCCUCUCUCUCAUUGAGUCAAUUCACAAAGCCUUUGCAAGCAUGUGUAUAUAUUUACAAGUGUAAUAUAUCUGGCCAAUUAGAAAAUAUUUUACCACAUACAUUUCUAAAUUCCAUACUUUAACAAAUAAAAGACUAAAAUAUAGUGCUUCCGCUGGCCGACUUGGAUCUCUUUGUUCUCAGAGAUUAUCCCCCGCCCUCUCAAAGGAAAAGCUUUUUUUCUUAUUUUCUUGCAAUUUCCUGACUUCAAUAAUAAUUCUUAAGAUAGUUCCAGCACUUAAAAGUCCAUAAAUCAUAUCCAACUUAUCAUGAGAAAUGAGAAUAAUAGGCCAAAUCUGUUUCCAAAUUUUAGGUUGGAUAUAUAUUAGUAGAUUGUGUUCAGACCAAAAGGAGAAUCACAACGUUAUGAACCCGAUAAUUUAUGAUGGAUAUGGCACCCAUUUCUUUAUUUUUGGAGAAUCCGUGAGAUUUUAUAAUAUGGUUUAUGUAUUGAGGCCUUCAAGCCCUACCAUAAAAAUUGAUCUUGCUGUUGAUGCUCUUUAUUUGUAUGUAAGAAAGCUUUGUAGCAUAUACCGAGGCAAGCUUCUGUUCUAAACCCAGUAUCAAAUUACUUACUUUUGUUUUUUCUUUUACAAAUGUUGUUGACAAACUUGCGUAGUAUGUGGCUCUCUCUAUGCCCACAUUUUCUUCAAGAAUUUUACUUGUUGAGAGGCCAUAUCUAGUACUAAUGAGGAUCGGAGACAAUUACCAGCUGAAGUUGUUGGGGUACUAGAAAACAUUGGUUGGUUUUCAGCUGAUUAGCAAGAAGAAAGCGCUCUCCUUGUGUUAAUACACUUACAAGGACACACACACACACACAUCGAACAUUGUGUAUAGUUCUUGUUAAUGCUUCUGGAUUCAUACCUUGAAAUCUUCUACCUAAUGUUCCACCGGUGCAGUCCCUUGCAAUCACAUAUGCUGCUUUUCAGAUUACAGUGGAUUGAGAUCUGAAUACAUGUUCUCCUUGGAGCUGUCAAGCAUUGUCUCAGCAUGCUACUGUAGCCGGGAUGGUGGUAGACAUUCCCGUUGGAGUUGAAGCCGCAGUAGAAGUCGGAGCUUAUAAGCUGGCACUGCUCCUCAUGAAAGCCUGCCGAGAUAUGUAAACAAGGAUAGAACAUCUGUAUCUAGCAAUCUGGCAAAACUUAGGGAUCUUUAUGGUGAUGUGAGCGUCCAAAAAGGGGAUGCUAGUAUGGAUAGGAUUCCCAGGAGUGAUAACGGUGCUGAAGAGGUGAUUAGGCUUGGUGGUCACCGAUGGAAAUAGUAUGAAGAGGUUCGUUUAAUCUGUUAUCAGAUUUGUCAUUUGAGUCUUCUGGCCAGAUACUCCUUUGACCGGGGAAAGAAUGGAGCAAAUCUUCCCUCAUGUUUUAUGUCUGUCUGCAAAGACAUUGAAAUGUAUUGAUGGAUGAUAUCCAUUGUAUCACCUUCAUGUCACAGUGCUGCUGCCUGUAUACUAGACCUUAUUCAGAAUUUCAGUUUUGAAAUCUAUUCAUGCUUCAUUAUGGGGCAUAUGUCAAAGUUUGUAACAUUAAGAUAAAUGAUUGCUAAUUGAAUUUCAGCUCUCUAUGAUCUGAGUUUUUCAAA